RNAcentral lists this ribosomal RNA (492 nucleotides) under uncultured bacterium. RNAcentral describes it as "partial 16S ribosomal RNA". It matches the Rfam family "Bacterial small subunit ribosomal RNA", at positions 29 to 507 of the family's 1533-position model. The record is from RNAcentral.
AGUGAACGCUGGCGGUAGGCCUAACACAUGCAAGUCGAACGGCAGCACAGUAAGAGCUUGCUCUUACGGGUGGCGAGUGGCGGACGGGUGAGGAAUACAUCGGAAUCUACUUUUUCGUGGGGGAUAACGUAGGGAAACUUACGCUAAUACCGCAUACGACCUACGGGUGAAAGCAGGGGACCUUCGGACCUUGCGCGAUUGAAUGAGCCGAUGUCGGAUUAGCUAGUUGGCGGGGUAAAGGCCCACCAAGGCGACGAUCCGUAGCUGGUCUGAGAGGAUGAUCAGCCACACUGGAACUGAGACACGGUCCAGACUCCUACGGGAGGCAGCAGUGGGGAAUAUUGGACAAUGGGCGCAAGCCUGAUCCUGCCAUACCGCGUGGGUGAAGAAGGCCUUCGGGUUGUAAAGCCCUUUUGUUGGGAAAGAAAAGCAGCAGGUUAAUACCCCGCUGUUCUGACGGUACCCAAAGAAUAAGCACCGGCUAACUUCGUG